AUUUGAUUAGUAUAGAUGUACAUGUGAUUUCCAAUCACAAGGCAGGGUCAAAUA
RNAcentral lists this transfer RNA (54 nucleotides) under Macracanthorhynchus hirudinaceus (giant thorny-headed worm). RNAcentral describes it as "transfer RNA-Gly". The record is from RNAcentral. Lineage: Eukaryota; Metazoa; Acanthocephala; Archiacanthocephala; Oligacanthorhynchida; Oligacanthorhynchidae.